Molecule: long non-coding RNA, 296 nt
Organism: Erinaceus europaeus (western European hedgehog)
Lineage: Eukaryota; Metazoa; Chordata; Mammalia; Eulipotyphla; Erinaceidae
Exons: 3
Source: RefSeq, a predicted model, not a curated record
ACGGGGAGGAGGUGCAGUUCUGGGCUGCAGUGACCACAGGCUGCUGGCAGCGUGGUGGCAAUUGUAGGAGGAAGAGCCGCUCCAUAAAGACAACGAAGAUGGGUGGAAUGGAAGUGUUGACACCCUUUGGUGGAGUCCUGUGAGUCACAGCCAUGCAAGGUGGGGACCGGGGACGUGGACCUGGGUCCUUGCACAUGGUAAUACAUGCACUGAACCAAACAAGUCACCGCCUGGCCCCUGGAAAUACAAUUUCCAAACUCACGAAUGCUCUGCUUCUAUCAGUACCUAACUCCACG